RNAcentral lists this unclassified non-coding RNA (262 nucleotides) under uncultured fungus. RNAcentral's name for it is "partial contains 5.8S ribosomal RNA, internal transcribed spacer 2, and large subunit ribosomal RNA". The stretch from base 1 to 52 matches the Rfam family "5.8S ribosomal RNA", at positions 103 to 154 of the family's 154-position model. The record is from RNAcentral. Lineage: Eukaryota; Fungi.
AACGCACCUUGCGCCUUUUGGUAUUCCGAAAGGCAUGCCUGUUUGAGUGUCAUGAAACCAUCAAUCCCUUGGGUUUUGUCACCCGGGUGGACUUGGACUUGGGCGUCUGCCGUCACCGGCUCGCCUUAAAAGCGUUAGUGGGAGGUGUCCUGCGGCUUGACGUGAUAAGAUUUCGUCUUGCCUCUCGACCAUCGCCCGCUCACAACACCCCUUACAUUUUACUUCUGACCUCAAAUCAGGUAGGGCUACCCGCUGAACUUAA